Molecule: non-coding RNA, 135 nt
Organism: Triticum aestivum (bread wheat)
Lineage: Eukaryota; Viridiplantae; Streptophyta; Magnoliopsida; Poales; Poaceae
Source: Rfam
UACGUACUCCCUUAGUCCUGAGUUAGUUGUCUUAGAUUUGUCUAGAUACGAAUGAAUCUAGACACAUUUUAGUGUCAGGUACAUAUGCAUCUAGACAAAUCUAAAACAACUAAUUUGGGACGGAGGUAAUAUGUC